CCGAGGCGCAUUAAUGACCUGCUCAGGCCUAAUCCUUCACGCCACGCCAACACCGUUGUCAGACGUGGCCGGGAGUACGAUCCUGCUCCCUGCAAAACAGGCACAACAGACACAGUAAGUCACCCUAUAAAAACCCCGCUCCCGAGAGGAGCAAAAUGGGGGGAGGAAACACACACAAAAAAGACCUCUUCACUUCAUCUGACUUGAUCGUCGGAGGGGUCGGGCCGAGCUUCGACCCGACCUGUGUGCAGGUACGAAGACGGAGCUACUUCCCCACCAACGUCGAGGAGAGGGACCCUUCCAUACGGGACGUCCCG
This 317-nucleotide long non-coding RNA is filed under the name Musa acuminata (dwarf banana). Its description in RNAcentral is "long non-coding RNA (MACU_LNC003231)". The record is from RNAcentral. Lineage: Eukaryota; Viridiplantae; Streptophyta; Magnoliopsida; Zingiberales; Musaceae.